GAUGAAGAACGUAGCGAAAUGCGAUAAGUAAUGUGAAUUGCAGAAUUCAGUGAAUCAUCGAAUCUUUGAACGCACCUUGCACUCCUUGAUAUUCCGAGGAGUACGCCUGUUCGAGUGUUAUGAAGCUCUCAAAACGCAAUUGGCUUAAAACCUGAUUGUUGUUUUGGAUUUGAACUUUGCCGUGUUAUAACGGCUGGUUUUAAAAGUAUUAGCUGGUACUAGAACGAAUUGGUUCUACUCAACGUGAUAAUUAUCUGAUCGUUGAGGACAUUCCUUUCACGAGGAAUGGCCAUAGUAAAUUCAAUGGACUGCUUCUAAUCUGGCUUUAAUUCUUUAUUGGAUUAACCACUUUUCAAAUCUGACCUCGAAUCAGGUGGGACUACCCGCUGAACUUAAGCAUAUCAAUAAGCGGAGGA
This 416-nucleotide unclassified non-coding RNA is filed under the name soil metagenome. Its description in RNAcentral is "partial contains 5.8S ribosomal RNA, internal transcribed spacer 2, and large subunit ribosomal RNA". The stretch from base 1 to 120 matches the Rfam family "5.8S ribosomal RNA", at positions 35 to 154 of the family's 154-position model. The record is from RNAcentral.